UUCUGUCUCAAGGGAUGAUGCCCACUCUUUGCGUUCUGUGUAGGCGAAGGCUGGGGCUCCACCUGAAGGUUCUGCCACCAGGAUUACAGUAGGGCUAGGUGUUUUCCCCAGGGUCUCUGCGGUGUGAGUCCUCUCGUGUCAUCGAGGGUCAGCUCAUUGAACUACAGGCUUUCACGGAGCAGGCAGCCCCCCUGGACUCGAGACUCUGGCAAACCGUCCUCCUUCCCCGCACACGCCUCCUCCUGGCUUCGGAUGGGAAAUCACGUCUGAUGCGCAGAGCCGAGAAGCUGUCUGUGGACAACAGGGUACGUGGAUGUCGGUUCUGGGCUGCGAGCUGUGUGGGAUCUUCCACGCCAGGGCGGGAGGAGGAACGAGGAGGACAAGCACAGGGAAGAGCAGCUGGACCCCGGGGAGUACGGAGGGUCCUUCCUCAGAGCGGGAACAACAACGACCGCCUCGGGCUCAGAGACAUUUGGGGGUGGCGGGGUG
Molecule: long non-coding RNA, 489 nt
Organism: Ailuropoda melanoleuca (giant panda)
Lineage: Eukaryota; Metazoa; Chordata; Mammalia; Carnivora; Ursidae
Exons: 3
Source: RefSeq, a predicted model, not a curated record